UUCUGUCUCUAGUAAUUUAUGUUGAAUUUAACUUUUGGGUGAAAAGGCUUAAAUGUUUUAAAAAGACGAUAAGACCCUAUAAAGCUUUAUAAUAAGUUUUUGCUUGGUUGAAUUAGUAAAUAAAAUUUUAGUAGAUUAUAUUAUUUUGUUGGGGAGAUAAAAAUUAUAAUUUUUAAUAACUGUUGGAAAUUUAUACAAUUAUUUAUGAGUGAGUUAGUAAUAGAUCCUAUAAUAAAGAUUAAAAGUUUAAGUUACUUUAGGGAUAACAGCGUUAUUUUUUUUGAGAGUUCAUAUCGAAAAGAAAGAUUGCGACCUCGAUGUUGAAUUAAAAUUUCUAGAUAAUUGUAGCAGUUAUUUUAGAGGGUCUGUUCGACCUUUAAAUUUUUA
RNAcentral lists this ribosomal RNA (387 nucleotides) under Holotheres semperi. RNAcentral describes it as "partial large subunit ribosomal RNA". The stretch from base 262 to 387 matches the Rfam family "Bacterial large subunit ribosomal RNA", at positions 2473 to 2598 of the family's 2925-position model. The record is from RNAcentral. Lineage: Eukaryota; Metazoa; Arthropoda; Malacostraca; Decapoda; Pinnotheridae.